GGUGGAAGCGACAGCAUUGUGCUGGGGUUCGGGAAGGAUGAGUAUCAUUGGUCAGAAUAUGGUACAAAUUGUGACUUGUUCGCCGAAGGAGAGAAGGCCGGCUGCCCAAGGGCAGCGUAUUUUCCCUCUCCGCCGUACAGUCUCUAAUGCAGUUCCCUGCAACAAGGCAGGAUUGAAUUGUGUGUCUCCCCCACCCCUCCGACUCCGACCCCUUCGCCGGCCGAAACGUAACGGAGCACAACGGCCCCUGAACUCGGAGGUCCUUUUCCGAGCACGUCUGGACUGCGUGUGGGUCGCGCCUUCCUUUCUCUGGUUCUUGCAAACGAUGCAAUUUCUUCAUCCAGGCGGUUUACGUCAUCACUUCCUCUGUUUUCUGUCACAAUGUUCUCCAAAGCCCAGUGAGAAGAAGAUCAUUUUGUGCUGGCUUCAUUUUCUUCCAAUGAAGGCCCAGUCUCUCCUCGUUUCUGUGGUUUUCAGCAAACGUAUCAUAUUGUGUGUGUGUGCUUGUGAGAGCAGACAUUGACCUGCAGAGGCCAGUGAAGGCAGGAUAAUCGGAACAUUCUGAAUUAUUUGCUGGGAAACCCACUCCCCACCCAACUUCUUUUAACCUUUAUGUAAAGCUACAGGAGAAGACAACAUAGCAAUAAAACAGCUUCCUCCUUGUUCUGCCAUCAAACAAGGUCAGUGUGUAUGUUAUCAUAUCCAUUAGCUUCACAGGCACUUGUUAUUAC
Molecule: non-coding RNA, 731 nt
Organism: Pogona vitticeps (central bearded dragon)
Lineage: Eukaryota; Metazoa; Chordata; Lepidosauria; Squamata; Agamidae
Source: RefSeq, a predicted model, not a curated record